GAUGAACGCUGGCGGCGUGCCUAAUACAUGCAAGUCGAGCGAACAGACGAGGAGCUUGCUCCUCUGACGUUAGCGGCGGAAGGGGGAGUAAAACGUGGAUAACCUACCUAUAAGACUGGGAUAAAUUCGGGAAACCGGAGCUAAUACCGGAUAAUAUAUUGAACUGCAUGGAUCAAUAGUGAAAGACGGUUUUGCUGUCACUUAUAGAUGGAUCCGCGCCGCAUUAGCUAGUUGGUAAGGUAACGGCUUACCAAGGCAACGAUGCGUAGCCGACCUGAGAGGAUGGUCCGCCCCCCUUGAACUUGGACACGGGCCAGACUCCCACGGGGGGCCUCAGUAGGGAAUCUUCCGCCAUGGGCCAAAGCUUUGCUGGGCCACGCCGCGUGAGUGAUGAAGGUCUUCGGAUCGUAAAACUCUUUUAUUAUGGAAAAACAAAUGUGUAAGUAACUAUGCACGUCUUGACGGUACCUAUACAGAAAGCCACCGCUAACUUCGUU
This 497-nucleotide ribosomal RNA is filed under the name uncultured bacterium. Its description in RNAcentral is "partial 16S ribosomal RNA". It matches the Rfam family "Bacterial small subunit ribosomal RNA", at positions 28 to 507 of the family's 1533-position model. The record is from RNAcentral.